This 251-nucleotide ribosomal RNA is filed under the name uncultured bacterium. RNAcentral's name for it is "partial 16S ribosomal RNA". It matches the Rfam family "Bacterial small subunit ribosomal RNA", at positions 337 to 605 of the family's 1533-position model. The record is from RNAcentral.
ACCUACGGGAGGCAGCAGUGGGGAAUAUUGCACAAUGGGGGAAACCCUGAUGCAGCGACGCCGCGUGAGCGAAGAAGUAUUUCGGUAUGUAAAGCUCUAUCAGCAGGGAAGAAAAUGACGGUACCUGACUAAGAAGCCCCGGCUAACUACGUGCCAGCAGCCGCGGUAAUACGUAGGGGGCAAGCGUUAUCCGGAUUUACUGGGUGUAAAGGGAGCGUAGACGGCGUAUCAAGUCUGAUGUGAAAGGCAGG